GACGAACGCUGGCGGCGUGCUUAACACAUGCAAGUCGAACGGUGAAGCCCUUCGGGGUGGAUCAGUGGCGAACGGGUGAGUAACACGUGAGCAACCUGCCCCUGGCUCUGGGACAACCACUGGAAACGGUGGCUAAUACCGGAUACGACCCGCCCCGGCGUCGAGUGUGGGUGGAAAGUUUUUCGGCUGGGGAUGGGCUCGCGGCCUAUCAGCUUGUUGGUGAGGUGAAGGCUCACCAAGGCGACGACGGGUAGCCGGCCUGAGAGGGCGACCGGCCACACUGGGACUGAGACACGGCCCAGACUCCUACGGGAGGCAGCAGUGGGGAAUAUUGCACAAUGGGCGAAAGCCUGAUGCAGCGACGCCGCGUGAGGGAUGACGGCCUUCGGGUUGUAAACCUCUUGCAGCUCCGAAGAAGCGAAAGUGACGGUAGGAGCAGAAGAAGCACCGGCUAACUACGUG
Molecule: ribosomal RNA, 462 nt
Filed under: uncultured bacterium
Lineage: Bacteria
Description: partial 16S ribosomal RNA
Rfam family: Bacterial small subunit ribosomal RNA
Source: RNAcentral